RNAcentral lists this small nuclear RNA (23 nucleotides) under Arabidopsis thaliana (thale cress). RNAcentral's name for it is "snRNA_00349". Lineage: Eukaryota; Viridiplantae; Streptophyta; Magnoliopsida; Brassicales; Brassicaceae. The record is from RNAcentral.
AGACAGACUUGCGUGAACGUUGU